GACCCCGACCGUAAGUCGAGGGAGGUCGACGAGCGUUGGUCGUCCACAGAUGAGAUAAAGAGAAACAUAUGAGAAACAUAGGAGUGUUAUAUGGACAAGUCGAACAUGGUCAUCUCUACUUCUGACUUCUCCAGGUCGCGACCAAAACCAAAGGUAAGCAGAAGUCACUUACUGUCAAAUUGUGCAUAUUGAACUGCCUAAAUUUGAGAAGUCAUUGGUAUCAGAUUGUUCAUGCCUCAUAUGAGUUAUUGAGAAUAAGAGAUAAAGAGAAGUCGUAUAUCCCGUCGUAGCUGAAUAUAUUGUAAACAAAGAAUUGCACUGUGAGGUUCACUUGUAACACCUAAGGGGAAUGGAAUCCCUUAAAAACAAAGGGUUUGCCGUCUGUUUGAGCCUGGGACGUCGCAAGGGGUGUACAAAAAAAAACGAAUAGCAUAGGGUAAUUUGUUGCGCGAUAGGAAUUCGGUUGGGUUUAGGCGAAGAAGAGUGACCACUAAAUUAAAGAAAUGCUCAUGGAUGGUGAAUUUAAUCAUGAAUGUGCUGAAUAUAAUCCAACUAAAGAUUAAAUAUCCAUUGAAAUUGAGCAGCAAAUGAUGCUUAAUGUUGACAAAAAGAAACAAGAUAAAGAAAGGAAGCGCGCAUUAGAAUAAUGGCAAAAGCACAAUUUGGGUAAAAUUCGCGAUUCAGACAAACUGACGAAGUUAUAGGACAUUGACAGAAACUAUGUAAAUGUAAUAUAAAUAUAAAUGUAAAAGACUAUGAAAGACGUAAGCAACAUAUUAGAUAAGGGCUCAUGGAACUUAAAGAGGUGAACAGAGAAAGGCGCACUGCGCAUUUAAUGAUGGUGACGGACAUUGGAACAGGACCAGAAAACUAUCCGAGACGGCUGGUAAGGUGGCAUGUGACGUUGACUGGCUUCAGCCCUCCCCGCGACCCUCAUGAGGAUAAGCGGUAAAGAAAAUGGAUGGAUAUUAUAUUAUAUUAUAUAACAAGCAAACAAAACGCUACAAGGUUGAAAACUCUUUUUAUUCCUCGGGCUUUUUAGAAUAUAUCCACUAUUUGAUCAUAUAACUUGCACUGUAUGCGGUUUUAAUUGCUUUUUAAAAAUAUUUUGUAAUUUUUAUUGUUUUUAUCCCGUUUUAAAUGUUUUAUCUGUUUGUUUUCAAACUGCCUUUAAUCAUGUAAAGUUACCUCGUGCAAUGAAAUGCGCUAUAAAAAUACAUCUGCUUUGCUUUACAAUGAUGCCUAUGACAGAGGUUCUGGCAGGUCCAAUAUACAAGCCAUUUGAUCUUAAAGAUGUUAAUUGUCUUUCUGCUAACUUGUCUCGUCUCUCAUCUGCUGGUAAUGCAUGGCUGUCUGGUUCUGUGGAAACUUUACAGGGGUAUACACUCUGCAUGGGAGACUGGAGACAAGCAGCAUCUAGAUCAUGCACUAGUAUUGAACACCGAGAAAUCGAGAAAGACAACUGCAGGUAUGCUUAACGUACCCAAUGAAAUCAUACUGAGAGCACACUUCGAGCGUCUGGCCGCAGUUAUCAGAGAGAGGUUCCCCACUCCUGUUGCAGCCGCACCCACUUCUUUCCCAUAUGUUAAAUGAUGCACUUGAGCACUUGACUAACUGUACUAAACUUUGGACUGAAUCGACUGGACAUCACCCUGGACAGUCUGGUUAGGAGGAGGCUAUGUGCAGGACUGGGAUCCUGGCAGGUCUCCUUGAACCAGUACAGACAACUCUUAAAGCUGACCCUGACCUCCUGUCCAGAGAUGAGCCUAGAUUUAGACGACACUUAGUGCAUCACCUCAAAAUUUAUUUUAGCCAACAACAGGGUAAUAAUGAAAUUACUAAACUCCAAAAAAAAACUUCUGAAAUUACAAGUAGCACAGGCAAGACGGAAAAGGUCCAAAACCACACGAGAUGUAAUUUUUUGGCAGACACAACCACCUAGACAGGCAGGUGGGUUCUAGGGUAAUAGCCGGGGUGGAUACGCAGGAAGGUGUGGAGGGGUCGGGGGAGAGUGCAACAUCAACGUGUUCAAGGGUGUUUUGGUUGUGGUUCUCUCGAUCACUGGAUUAAAGACUGUCUUACAGCUCUCCACCUCAAGCUCCAAUGCAAGGGCGUGGUGGCUGGUCCAACAACUGAGGGGGCCAAGGCAGAGGCAGAAAUAACAGCUUUGCCCACCCUGGCAGCAGAAUGGACAGCAGCAGGUUGGACAGUACCACAAUGGGUGCCCAGGAAGCCAGGGUUCUGGCGAUGCAGGUGCCAAGAUCCCCAUCUCUGUUGCUGAGCGAAUGUGAACACUCUUGUUGACACAGGGGCAACACACUCCUCACUCAACAUCUCGCUCCCGGACACUUUAUUGUCACAACAGACUGUGCAAUUGAUGGGCUUCUCGGGGACUCAAGAGUCCUUGCAAUGGACUCAACCCCUACCGACAAUAUUGGCUGGAAAGACCUUCCACCAUUCAUUUAUAAGGCCGGCAGCUGACACAGUCUGCCACUCUGGAUAGGUCUUAUGACACCUGUGAGUGAACCAACUCCAACUGUGGACAUUUAUUGGGCCCGACUUGAAACACUGCUCAAACCUGGUCUCAUACAUCAAUUUCUGUUGUGGAAGCCCUGGUUAAACACUCUUAGGGCUUACCAGCCUCCACUAGAUCCAUACCAUUGCACACUAUAUUCCGACCUCAACCACGAUCUAGUCCAAACAUAAAAGGUGAUGCUUGGGAGUCAGUACCCCACAUUUCACUCACUCUUUCUCCAGGACACGAGGCCCGACAGCUGGGAGCUAUGGUGAAACUGACUGACUCAAAUGACUGACUGGGAGGACAGACCACUCCCUAACGUACAGAUCUCGAAAUCGACAUAUGCAUACUGCAUCAUUAUUCCUGACACACCUCCGACAACUAAAAUCACAAUAUUAGAACACGAGACCCUCACUAGAGAACACGGACAUGACUACUCUGACCAUGACAACGACGAGUCAAUGCCUAAAGUGCCUAAAUUAGUUUGGCUCUCCGAACCCUUUGAUGUUGGACAUUGUACAAAGACACCAGACAUUAAAAUCAAUUAUUCUAGGAUCUCAUUUUUACAGACCUCAAUAUCCUUGACGCACAGCUGCUAACCAGGGGAUGGAGGGCACUCUCACUGGCCUGUGGAAUUCUGGAGUCUUGGACACAUCCACCUCCCCGUGGUUUACAUCAUUCAGCAAGGUUUUAAAAGCUGAUGGUCACACUUAUCGUAUGACACAUGAUUUGAGAGCCGUUAAUGAUGUAACGACCACACCACUGUUACCUCUACCAGACCACCACAGAAUGUUGUCUACCAUCACAUCUGGUUUGAAAUACUUUAACGAUUAAUUUGGCAAAUGCAUCCUUCUGUGUCCCACUUGCACUCGAGUGUAGACACUUGUUUGCAUUCAGAUAUCAAGGACACAAUUUGCAAUACACCAGGUUGCCACAAAGCUUCAAAAAUUCACCUGGAAUUUUUAAUCAAUGUUUGAAAUCAUUGCUGCGGGAUCUACAACUCCCAGAUGGAUGUAAACUCCUGAUGUAUGUUGAUGACCUCCUGUUGGCAGCCCUAACAGCAGAGUUGUGUUUGUCUCUAACUAAACUUGUUUUGCUUCGUUUGCAUGAGCUGGGAUUCAAAGCUUCCAGAAAGAAACUUCAGUGUUGUCGCAAAUUGGUGACCUUCUUGGGCAGAGUGGUGUCCUCUGAAGGAUCCACUAUGUCCUCGGGGCAUCGUUUUUCUAUUCUACAGAUUCUCUUCAUCCACGUGCCAACCUCAGACUAACGGCAGGGUUCUGUUCAAUGAUGGUUGCUGUUACCGUAAGCUAAAUGGCUCUUUGGCUGCGGCGGCUGCCAUAGUGGAGCAGCAGCCCUCAGGUGAAUUUUUAACUGUUACCAAUUCCGUACUCUGUUCCCUAAGCCCAGGCAGUGGAAGUGCUCCCAGUCUGUCUCACACUGGAACUGCCGGUCGGACAAUCUGUCACUGUCUAUUCUGACUCAUCUUACGCUGUCUCGGCUGCUGUGUUGGACCUGUCUGCCUGGAAACGGAAUUAUUUUAAAACAGCCAAAGGUACUCCUAUUCCACAUUUGACACUGAUCCAACGAUUCGAUAAAACCCUGGGCAAACCUUCGGAGGUGGCUAUCGUCAAGGUCCCUGGUCACUCCAAUCCACCUCAACCACAGCCCUCGGCAAUAAUGCUGCCGACUUGGCUGCCAAGCAGGCUGUGGGCUAUGUCCCACAGAUGCUUGUCCAAUUAUCUGACAAAUCCUCUCCUGACCUGCCCAAACCUCCGUCUCGUAGUGAAUUGGUUAAAAUACAGCACAACGCCUCUCCUGAACAAAAGAUAUUCUGAUUGAAACCCACUCUAUUGCUCAUACUGGCCCCAGAGCCAUGCUAACCAAACUUCACAUAUGGUGGAAUCCUAAAAUGUCUGACUUGUGUCAUGCCUACUGUUGUGACUGUAAUAUUUGACAGCUACACUAUGUUCACCCCACACUUAGACCUUUGUCAGGUUCAUUUGACCCACCCACCUGGCCCGGUGCGGAACUGGUCAUGGAUUUCACAGACAUGAUCACGCCUGUUCAAGGUAAGCGCGACCUUCUUGUUUUUGUUGACACCUUUUCCGGAUGGCCUGAAACCUACCCCUGCACUCGCGAAGACCCCAUGUCGAUAAUGAAAGCUUUGGUGAACCACUGGAUUCCAACGUACGGUUUCCCUGCUCUCAUCACAACGGUGCACAUUUCACAUCCACACACCUCGCUACUGUAGAGAAGUGGUUAGGGUUUUGCCCUGCUACAGACUCUUAAUUGCAGUUUUAUUUUAUUGCUUGUUGUUGUUUUAUUAGCCAUGAUUCCAACAGAUAGUCCGAUUGCUUUUCGGACCAAGAGAGGGAGAGCAGGAAUCUAUGGCAUUCUUAUUAUUGGUUUAAUGUUCUUGGUAUUUUUAUCUGGGAAAUCGCUCAGAAAUACCCCAUACCCACAGCCACAUCAGUGCCAGCUGUUAGCAUAACCCACCCAGAAAAUAUUUAUCACAGAAGAAGACUUGUAUGAUAAACAAAGCCCUAUCUGUUGAUGAGGGGUUUAGGGUUUUGACAGGCAUUAGCGCAGUAAUCAAUAAUUGGUUACUAAUGGGAGAACAAGCGGCUAAUAAAGCCCUGAGUGACUGUGUUGUAUCCAUGAGACCUAGACCUUUGUUACGUGUUGUUUCCUCUUCUGUCAACUCCACCUGUGUUCUAGAUCUUGUGAAAAAUUAUGUGGCGACUAAAAAUGAAUGCAAAAUUUGGGAUACUGCCCACCCAGUAACACCAGCCCAAAAGAACAAACCUGUGUUUAAGCGUGCUGUGGCACGCCAAAACUUCACCUGUUUUCCUUUAAGAUAAUGGUGCCCCAAUUGACAAUAUCUCUGAUGAUCAGUGUGCAGAGACCCAGGAAACACCUUUCUUCCAACCUGUCAGCUAUACUUAUCUGUGGUGGUGGUGCGGAGGGGACCGUAUCGUCGACCGCCUCCCGUGCAACAGUAUGGGCAGACGUGCACGAGUAACUUUACUUUUGCCUAUUUCCGUUGUUCCUCUCACCCUAGAUGAUCUGGCGGUUGCUCCUGAACACUUCAAUGAAGCUCUUGGCCUAUUACACCGCUCACGUAGAUCCAAACGUACCUGGCUCGGUGCUGACGACCCCACCUAAAUUGGCACUUUUGGCAUCCCCCGUCGUGUCCCAGACGAGUAUAAACUGACUGAUCAGAAAACCGGCUGGCGCCAUCCUCCUCUCCCAGGCGUUGCCGUGGAGACAAACGACACCAGAUAAGGAGCAGAAAGUUACCAUCCCGACCCAGGCAGCCACUUUUACCGUGGACCCAUACAUAUAAAAACCUUGUAUUACUGAGCUUUUGUCUUCUUCUUUGGCUAUACUGCCAGAAGACACACGUCUCGUGUGCGGCAGAUACCUAGAUAAGACCCGGACGUCUGUACUGCACAUUCCUUUGUAAUUAAUCCAUUUGCUGUUAACAUUUUCCUAAUCAUUGGUCAUAUCUUCCUCGACUCGGGAACACGUGUGGGGUCCAAACUCGCAAAUCCCAACAACUUGGUGACCCCGACCAUAAGUCGAGGGAGAUAGACGAGGGUUGGCCGUCGACAGAUGAGAUAAAGAGACAUAUGAGAAACACAGGAAUGUUAUACGGACAAGUCGAACGUGGUCAUCUGUACUUCUGACUCCUCCAGGUCGUGACCAAAACCAAAGGUAAGCAGAAGCCUGUUUACUGUCAAAUUCUGCAUAUUGAACUGCCUAAAUUUGAGAAGUCAUUGGUAUCAAAUUGUUCAUGCCUCAUAUGCGUUAUUGAGAAUAAGAGAUAAAAAGAAUACGAGAUAAAGAGAGGUUGUAUAUCCCGUCGUAGUAGACUUAUAUUGUAGACGUACAAUUGCACUGUGAGGUUUACCUGUUACACCUAAGGGCGAUGAGAUCCCUUAACAGAGGGUUUGCAGUCGGUUUGAGCCUGAGAUGUCACGAGGUGGCGGACGAAAAAACAAAAUAGUAUAGGCUAAUUUGUUGCAUGAUAGGAAUUCGGUUGGGUUUAGUCGAAGAAGAGUGACCACUUAAUUAAAGAAAUAAUCAUGGAUGGUGAAUUUGAUCAUGAAUGUGCUGACUAUAGUCCAUCUAAGUCCACUGAAGACAUCUGAAAAUGUUGUUUUGCAUUGCUUUUUUCUUUUAUUCCAUUAACCCUACCUCUAGUUGCAAGUUGAUUUUGUUUUUACGUUACGUACUUUCUGUGCAAAUGAAAAAACAUUUUCCCCCUCAUUAUUGCUUGUUUAAUGUUACUCUGCAGUUUUGUUUGUAAAAAUAAAUAAAUAAUCACAAAAAACA
Molecule: long non-coding RNA, 6856 nt
Organism: Syngnathoides biaculeatus (alligator pipefish)
Lineage: Eukaryota; Metazoa; Chordata; Actinopteri; Syngnathiformes; Syngnathidae
Exons: 2
Source: RefSeq, a predicted model, not a curated record